This 4592-nucleotide unclassified non-coding RNA is filed under the name Eufriesea mexicana. RNAcentral describes it as "dynactin subunit 1, transcript variant X6". Lineage: Eukaryota; Metazoa; Arthropoda; Insecta; Hymenoptera; Apidae. The record is from RNAcentral.
CUUAUUAGAAUAAAUGAACUUUAAAAAACUAGGUGUAAUAAUUUGUCACAGUUGAAAUGUCGUACAAAAUUGGACAGCGUGUCGAAGUUUCUAAUAAGGACUGUCAAGGAGUAAUUGCUUAUAUUGGUUAUCCGACUUUUGCUUCAGGAAAAUGGAUUGGAGUUAUACUUGACGAACCAAAAGGAAAAAACAAUGGAACUAUUAAGGGUCAAUCGUAUUUUAAAUGUGCUGAAAAUCAUGGAAUGUUUGUGCGACAGUCACAACUUAUUUUACUGGAUGAAACAGGUAAUAGGAUUGAACCUGCUAGUCCAUCCUCAGCAGGUAGUAGUGCUACUACACCAGAUGAAAGUAGUGCAGCACGUGCUAGAAGUCGAUUGAAUAGCAUAAGUACACGUCGAAGGAAUGAACCUACUGCAGUACGGAGAAAAACAUCUCCUGCCCAUACCAGGCAACAAUCUGACAAGCUAUCUGGUUCAAGAUUAUCAUUGGCGGGUAGUAGAACACUUUUAAGUGCUCCAAGUACAGAGAGUUUAUCUGGAUCACAACAUGAACGUAAAGAUGGAGGAGAAUCACUUAUACCAGCCCCAACAUCCACUAAGCGAGCUUCAUUUAUUGAGAAGUCCCCUAGCACGAGCUCGCCUCCCGGCAAAAAGCCAAAGGCCCAAGAUGAUCACAAUAAUACAGGUUUUGUAGAGACUCUGAAACCACAGUUUGUACCUGGCCAAGUAAUGGCAGGAUCUGCUGCAGCUGCAAAUGUAGUAGAAGAGAAAUUGUCACAAUUACAACUUCAACAAGAAAAUGAGAAUUUAAAAUCUCAGGUUCGGGACCUUACAGAAAAAGUAGAAACAUUACGAGUGAAAAGAAUGCAAGAUAAGGAAAGAAUGAAAGACUUUGAGAAAACAAAACUUCAACUUGAACAACUUAUUGAAUUCAAAACAAAAGUUAUGGAAAGCCAAGCUAGUCUGCAAAGAGAACUGCAACGCGCACGUCAAGAAGCAAGAGAAGCACACGCAGCUCGAGAACAGUUUCAAGAAGAAAUGACAGAUCUUGCAGAAACUGUAGAAAUGGCAGCAUUAGAUAAAGAAAUGGCUGAAGAGAAAGCUGAAACAUUACAAAUCGAAUUAGAACAAUUGAAAGAAAAAUUGGAAGAGCAAACACUAGAUCUAGAAAUAUUACGAACAGAAGUAUCUGAAAGGACAGUAGGAGGGGGAUCAACUGCUGGUGCUUCAAAUUAUGAAAUAAAACAAUUGGAACAACAAAAUAAUCGGUUACGAGAAACUCUAGUUAGAAUGCGGGAUCUUUCUGCACACGAGAAGCACGAAUUUCAAAAGCUUCAAAAGGAUUUAGAUCAAAAGAAGUCAGAAAUAUUAGAGUUGGGUCGUACGAAGGAAAAAUUAUCCACACGGGUAGAAGAAAUGGAACAUCAAAUAGCAGAUUUGCAGGAGCAAGUUGAUGCUGCGUUAGGUGCUGAAGAAAUGGUUGAAGUACUUGGCGAGAAGAAGAUGGCAUUAGAAGAGAAAGUUGCAGAAUUGGAAGAGGCUGUUGCAGACUUAGAAGCUUUACAAGACAUGUCUGAUCAACUUGCUGAAUCAUCGAAAGAAUUAGAAUUAGAAUUGCGGGAAGAAUUAGAUUUAGCGCUUGGAGCAGCACGUGAUGCUUACCAACAUCGAGAUGCAGCUUUAGAGACAUUAGCAGAUCGUGAACUUACAAUUACGAAGUUUCGUGAACUCACUCAUCAAUUACAGGAGCAGUGUUUGCAAUUACAGCAACGUGUACAAUCAACUGAAACUUCUAAAUUUGGUAUAGCAGGCACAGAGCAACAAUUAGCGGAGAUUUUAGAUUUCCAAAAAACUUUUGCUGAAACCCGUGCACAAACAAAAGCUGUUGAUCUUGAAUUACGAAGAUUAGAAGCUGAAGAAGCUCGAAAUCAUGUGAAAUAUUUAUUAUCUUUUAUGCCUCCUGCAUUUUUAGCACGUGGUGGAGAUCAUGAUGCUAUUCUAACACUUCUUCUUAUACCAAGGAUGAUGCAAAAAACAGAAAUACUUAUAUCACAAGUACGAGAAAAAUAUAGAUCAUUAGAUAAAGUGGACAGACUAGCUAUUUUAAAGGGUCACUCAGUAGCACAAUAUACCUUCAGAUCGCGUCUUUGUUCAUACAUGUAUGCAUUGCAAACGUUCCUCGGUUGUUUUGAAUCUGCAUUGAAUGUAUGUUCUCCUGAAAUGUUACUCAAAGCUGGAGCAGUUUAUCCAGAAAUGGCUGCACAAGAAAAAUCUUUAGAUUGUUUGAUAGAUUUGGCUAAAAAAGAUCAAUUAGACGAGAAUCUACCAAUGGAUGCUAUUGAGAAAUGUUGUGGAUACUUUUGUACUAUGUUUUCUGUAUUAUUUGGGGAAACUAUUAAUCACGCCCGCUUGAUAGUUAAUGGCACGAGAAUGUUAGAAAGCUCUUGUGAUGCUAUUACAACGGAUGCCGCGGCAAUUAAAACUUUAAUUCAGGGAGACAGUGGUGAUAUAGGUCUUCUGUGUCAACAUGCGGAAACAACAUGUGAAGUAAUUCAGCAACACUUAAAGUCGGCCAGAAGACGUGUAUUGACAGAUCAUGCAACCGCAAUUCAUGUCGCAGAAUCUAACUUAGGACUGGAUAAAGACUGUAGCGAACAACUUUUUGCAUGUUACAAACAUGCUAUGAAAAUGAUGAAAACUUUGCAAACUGUGCUGAAAAAUGCUGUGCAAGCAAUUAUCGCCAAUGGUGAUGUAGAUACAGGACUUAGUGCAGAUAAAUUGAAAGAAAUGACUUCUAUAUCAUGUGAGAAGAUUUACGAUACUGAAGAUGUCGGACCUGUAGCUACGAUUAAAGGAAGUUUGUCAAGAAUUCAGCAGUUAGCAGCUAGUUUAGCACAAAAAAUGGCAGAAUGUGAAAAUGAGCUACAAAUAAGUGGACAGUUAUUACACCAACGAGGACAAAGUACGGAAAAUGAGUCUUUACAGCCUAUUAAAGUAAGAGCACAAGCAGCAAAGAAAGAAGCUGAAGAAAUUAAAAUACUCAGUAGAAAAUUAGAAGCUAGAGAUAGCGAUAUACUCGAAGCAAGAUUAGCUCUUCGAGAAAAACAAGAAGAAUUAAGUGAAAUGAUUUUGAGGAAGGAUGUUGUGGAGAAAAAGCUUGCAACUCAACAACACGAACAUGAAUUAAAUGUAGAAAAACUGAAAAGAAAAUUAGAAGUAGCAUUGAAUCAAUUAAAACGAAAGGAAAAAGAAUUUGAGGAAACGUUGGAUCAUCUUCAAACAGAUAUUGAUAGUUUGGAAAUUGAAAAGGGUCAGUUAAAAGAAAAAUUAAAAUCUGUUGGAAAGAAGACGAUGAUGUCUGCGUCUGGAGCCGAUAAUAUAUCUGGUAGUGUUACAACAUCUAAAAUUCAGACAAUGGACAAUCAAUUUUUGAUACAAGAAAUAACGGCUCUAAAGGAAGCAUUGAAUAAUGAAAACCAACAGAAAAAGAAAUUAAUGUCCGAUAUAUUACGUCAGAAGUUAGAAAGUUUGGAUCCAAUAAUUCCACAAUUAAAACAGGGAAAAAUUAAUAUGAAAAUAGAGGAGUUAAAACAAAAAACUGAUGAUCUUACUAAAGACAUUAAACAAGUCAUGACAUUCCCUAUCGUUCCUGAUUUAAGGCGUAAUAAGGCACGCGAUUUGGAAGGUCCACCGUUAGACAAAGCAAUGCCAGCUUACCAACUGUUACAACGACAGAUAGUUAUGAAUGUAUUAAAAGAGCGUGCUGAUCAAUUAAUUAAUGAAGUUCUUGAAGAAGUUAUACAGAAAACAGUAGGUGGAAUGGCUGAAGCCAAUUUCGCAGUAUUCCCAAAUCGUGAAAUGGCUGCAGCAAUGCAGAAAAGUCAAUUGCUUGCUGCAGAAAUCGCAAUUCCUCAUGAAGGUCAAGAACAAGUUUUUACUGUAAAUGUAGGAACACAGGAACUUAGGAAAAUUCAUACUUUGCUGUGCUACUAAUUUUCAUUUGCUAAUCUUUAGUACUAUAUAUCAACGUGGCAGAAUAUGCUACCACAAAAGCAGUGGAACAGAUUAAAUCUAAUGAUAACAUAAUUUUGGAGCGUGCGACUUUUAUUUAUUUUUGAAUUGACUACAGCACGAUGACUGGUGCAUUGUAGCUGGUAGUCUGCAGCAUUUUGUUAUCUUAUAAACUCAAAUAUUAUUACUAUUAACAAUUUGAACGAUAAAAUUAUGUGCCUCUAUGGCUUCUGUAUAAUAUCUUUUAAGAAUCGUCAAAUAUAUGACUUAAAAAUAUUUACAUAAAUAUUCUUUACAUAUCCCAUGUGUCAAGAAUAUCGCAACACAGUGUCGGGAGCAAGUAUAUCUUAUAUAAUAGGGAAAUAGAGACUAUAAUACAAUGUUUCACUUUUUAUUUAUAGCGAUAAAAAGAGCAAUAAAUUGUUGAUGAUUUUUCAUUAUUUAUGAAAUAACGUAUGUCGCAAUUACUGUCAAUUUUAUUAUACAUACACACGUGUGUGUAUGUAUACAUAUGUAUAUAAAGCAUUAUCUGUAUACAGAAUGUCUUAUGAGGUACUUAAUGAACUUCCUUCAUAUGUUCAC